Molecule: long non-coding RNA, 1023 nt
Filed under: Mytilus galloprovincialis (Mediterranean mussel)
Lineage: Eukaryota; Metazoa; Mollusca; Bivalvia; Mytilida; Mytilidae
Source: RNAcentral
CAAACAUCCUGCAACUGUCUCUUUUUUGAAAGUUACACUCAUGCGGAGGAACUAUUUUGUGUUAAAUAUGUACUACUUUCUGGUAUGUGCUUUCUGGACGGGCCUGAAUUAGUGGUGUUACACCAAAACGAGCGUGAUGAGGACGGUAUGGGCGUGCUAGAAUCGUACUAUAGUCGUAAACAGCGUGGUGUAAACGUGGUAAAGUCGUAGUGGAAGCGUAGUUGGGUUGCGGUGAGAACUUGAUGGUUGUAGUGAGGUUGUAAUGACGUCGCUGUGAGAUCGUAGCGCAGUCUCUCCGAUUAGAAUCACGCUUUCUCUACGCUCUCGUUACGAUGAUACAGCGACCUUUGCGAUCUUACCACGACCUCAGUGCGCUCUCACUACGCUUCUACUACGACCUAUCUUGCCACGACCGCUCCACGAUUGUUUUGAACAUGUUUAAAGUUGACCACGCUCAUCACGAUCUUGAAGACCUCACUACGACCGUGAUACGACCUUACUACGAGCUACGAUAUCGCACUACGAUCGUCAAAAUUUGCAUUUUUUUCACAGAUCGUAGUGCGAUCGUGGCCCAGUCGGACUGCGGUAUUAUGGAAUGACGGAAUGGCAGAAUGACGGGAUGAAGGACAAGUGUGAAACUAUAUAUAUGGCCUCGACCUAAGUCAACGAGACUAUAGAAAUAUUUGCCUACAUGUACAUGUAUUAGAUAUAGUCUUUUCAUAUUUGAGUGACGUCAUUCACGAAGCCGACAAAAUCUGAUUUACAUAGCGAAAAUAAAAAGUAAUAUUUUUAUAUUUUUCUCUUCUUCUUGGAAGAGCAAUUUGUUUUGAUAAAAUAGGAGUUAUAGUGUCAUAAUCUCUUAUGCACCCAGUCAACCUUGUGUAAAGAAUACCCAGACACAGUAACCCAGCUAACACAUAAUAUUUUCAUGAUAUUAUUGACUGGUUAUAUGUAUGUUUGUCAAAAAUAUUUACCAAAAAAUAUUUUAUAGACAUUUUUUUUAAAUCAGAAAUUAUGCAUGAA